AUGCAGAGCCCACAGGGAUUUGACCUGAAAGCAUCAAGCGGUGAACCAUGGCAUGUGUGUGUUACCAAGGUUGCCAAUGACCUGUUCUUCAGUUCAGGAUGGGGAGAUUUUGUCAAGGCUCAUGAACUGCAGGAGAAUGACCUCCUGAUCUUCACAUUCAGCGGCAACUCCUCUUUUAAAGUCCUCAUCUUCGAUGCGACCGGCUGCGAGAAACUGUCUUCUCUCUUUGCUGGCGCUGGUAUGCGCAAACAUCUUGAUGGUAUGGUGGGUCAACAGGUUGAGCAAUACGACGAUUAUGAUGAUACAAGUGUGCCGUCUCAGUUGAUUGAGUCCCAUCAGAAUGUCUCCACUUUAAGGAAAUUCAGUAGCAGGACCAAACCAAGUAAGACAUUAUGUGGUUCGACUAACACAUGA
Molecule: ribosomal RNA, 414 nt
Filed under: Triticum aestivum (bread wheat)
Lineage: Eukaryota; Viridiplantae; Streptophyta; Magnoliopsida; Poales; Poaceae
Description: partial small subunit ribosomal RNA
Source: RNAcentral